GUAGGUGGCAAGCGUUGUCCGGAAUUAUUGGGCGUAAAGCGCGCGCAGGCGGUUCUUUAAGCCUGAUGUGAAAGCCCACGGCUCAACCGUGGAGGGUCAUUGGAAACUGGAGAACUUGAGUACAGAAGAGGAAAGCGGAAUUCCACGUGUAGCGGUGAAAUGCGUAGAGAUGUGGAGGAACACCAGUGGCGAAGGCGGCUUUCUGGUCUGUAACUGACGCUGAGGCGCGAAAGCGUGGGGAGCAAACAGGAUUAGAUACCCUGGUAGUCCACGCCGUAAACGAUGAGUGCUAAGUGUUAGGGGGUUUCCGCCCCCCUUAGUGCUGCAGCUAACGCAUUAAGCACUCCGCCUGGGAGUACGGCCGCAAGGCUG
This 372-nucleotide ribosomal RNA is filed under the name uncultured organism. RNAcentral describes it as "partial 16S ribosomal RNA". It matches the Rfam family "Bacterial small subunit ribosomal RNA", at positions 527 to 896 of the family's 1533-position model. The record is from RNAcentral.